RNAcentral lists this ribosomal RNA (772 nucleotides) under uncultured Neocallimastigales. RNAcentral describes it as "partial large subunit ribosomal RNA". It matches the Rfam family "Eukaryotic large subunit ribosomal RNA", at positions 23 to 642 of the family's 3401-position model. Lineage: Eukaryota; Fungi; Neocallimastigomycota; Neocallimastigomycetes; Neocallimastigales. The record is from RNAcentral.
GAGACUCUGUGCGCGUGCAUAUCAAUAAGCGGAGGAAAAGAAACUAACAAGGAUUCCCUAGUAACGGCGAGUGAAGCGGGAAGAGCUCAGAUUUGAAAUCUUAAAGGGUUUCCCUUUACGAAUUGUAGUUUAAAGAAGUGUUUUCUGUUGGAGUUUCGGUAAAAGUUCUUUGGAAUAGGACAUCAUAGAGGGUGAGAAUCCCGUAUUUGACCGUUACUUUCCAGCUGUGUGAUACACUUUCAAAGAGUCGGAUUGUUUGGGAAUGCAGUCCAAAAUGGGUGGUAAAUUUCAUCUAAAGCUAAAUAUUGGCGAGAGACCGAUAGCGAACAGGUACCGUGAGGGAAAGAUGGAAAGAACUUUGAAAAGAGAGUUAAACAGUACGUGAAAUUGUCAAAAGGGAAGCGUUUGACACCAGUGUUGUUUAGUUGAAAAUCAAUUCAAUAGUUUUUGAUUCUAAGUAGUAUUGACUUCAUCAGCUUGCUGCUUUCUUCUCAGAAAUUAUGAAUGCACUUUUCAGUUAACAAGUCAACAUCAAUUUCUUUUGUUGUAAAAGGGUAAGAGGAAGGUGGCUUACGCUUCGGCGUAAGUGUUUAUAGCCUUUUACCUCUGCAAUCGGAGAGAUUGAGGACAGCAGCGUAGACUCUUCGGGGUUAGAUACACUUGUGCUAAGCUAUAGCCUUGUAUAGACAACUUGUUGACUAUGCUCAGUCAUGUAGCUUACUCGCUUGUGCUAUUUUACCUACGCUUAGGAUGUUGAAGAUGUAGCACAUCA